CUCGGCAACGGAUAUCUAGGCUCUCGCAUCGAUGAAGAACGUAGCAAACUGCGAUACUUGGUGUGAAUUGCAGAAUCCCGUGAACCAUCGAGUCUUUGAACGCAAGUUGCGCCCGAAGCCACUAGGUUGAGGGCACGUCUGCCUGGGCGUCAC
This 153-nucleotide ribosomal RNA is filed under the name Hemidesmus indicus. Its description in RNAcentral is "5.8S ribosomal RNA". It matches the Rfam family "5.8S ribosomal RNA". From Rfam's summary of the family: 5.8S ribosomal RNA (5.8S rRNA) is a component of the large subunit of the eukaryotic ribosome. It is transcribed by RNA polymerase I as part of the 45S precursor that also contains 18S and 28S rRNA. Lineage: Eukaryota; Viridiplantae; Streptophyta; Magnoliopsida; Gentianales; Apocynaceae. RNAcentral also lists the same sequence under 2 other names. The record is from RNAcentral.